Molecule: ribosomal RNA, 301 nt
Filed under: uncultured bacterium
Lineage: Bacteria
Description: partial 16S ribosomal RNA
Rfam family: Bacterial small subunit ribosomal RNA
Source: RNAcentral
CAGCCGCCACGGGAAUACGAGGGGGGCAAGCGUUGUUCGGAAUUAUUGGGCGUAAAGGGCGCGUAGGCGGUUUGGCAAGUUUCGUGUGAAAUCUUCGGGCUCAACUCGAAGUCUGCACGGAAAACUGCCGGGCUUGAGUAUGGGAGAGGUGAGUGGAAUUUCCGGUGUAGCGGUGAAAUGCGUAGAUAUAGGAAGGAACACCAGUGGCGAAGGCGACCACCUGGACUGAUACUGACACUGAGGUGCGAAAGCGUGGGGAGCAAACAGGAUUAGAUACCCCUGUAGUCCCUGUCUCUUAUAC